RNAcentral lists this ribosomal RNA (253 nucleotides) under uncultured bacterium. RNAcentral describes it as "partial 16S ribosomal RNA". It matches the Rfam family "Bacterial small subunit ribosomal RNA", at positions 524 to 776 of the family's 1533-position model. The record is from RNAcentral.
UACGUAGGGUGCGAGCGUUGUCCGGAAUUAUUGGGCGUAAAGGGCUCGUAGGCGGUCUGUUGCGUCGGGAGUGAAAACUCAGGGCUUAACCCUGAGCCUGCUUCCGAUACGGGCAGACUAGAGGUAGGCAGGGGAGAGCGGAACUCCUGGUGUAGCGGUGGAAUGCGCAGAUAUCAGGAAGAACACCGGUGGCGAAGGCGGCUCUCUGGGCCUUACCUGACGCUGAGGAGCGAAAGCGUGGGUAGCGAACAGG